This 500-nucleotide ribosomal RNA is filed under the name uncultured Glomeromycotina. Its description in RNAcentral is "partial small subunit ribosomal RNA". It matches the Rfam family "Eukaryotic small subunit ribosomal RNA", at positions 591 to 1092 of the family's 1831-position model. Lineage: Eukaryota; Fungi; Glomeromycota. The record is from RNAcentral.
CCAAUAGCGUAUAUUAAAGUUGUUGCAGUUAAAAAGCUCGUAGUUGAAUUUCGGGGUUAGCAGGUCGGUCGUGCCAUCGGUAUGAACUGGUCUCGCUGAUCCCUCCCUCUUGACGAACUGUGAUGCCAUUAAUUUGGUGUCGCAGGGAAUCAGGACUGUUACUUUGAAAAAAUUAGAGUGUUUAAAGCAGGCUCACGCUUGAAUACAUUAGCAUGGAAUAAUGAAAUAGGACGUUUGAUCCUAUUUUGUUGGUUUCUAGGAUUGACGUAAUGAUUAAUAGGGAUAGUUGGGGGCAUUAGUAUUCAAUUGUCAGAGGUGAAAUUCUUGGAUUUAUUGAAGACUAACUACUGCGAAAGCAUUUGCCAAGGAUGUUUUCAUUAAUCAAGAACGAAAGUUAGGGGAUCGAAGACGAUCAGAUACCGUCGUAGUCUUAACCAUAAACUAUGCCGACUAGGGAUCGGAUGAUGUCAAUUUUUUAAUGACUCAUUCGGCGCCUUACG